RNAcentral lists this ribosomal RNA (253 nucleotides) under uncultured bacterium. RNAcentral's name for it is "partial 16S ribosomal RNA". It matches the Rfam family "Bacterial small subunit ribosomal RNA", at positions 524 to 776 of the family's 1533-position model. The record is from RNAcentral.
UACGAAGGGGGCUAGCGUUGCUCGGAAUCACUGGGCGUAAAGCGCCCGUAGGCGGCUUUUUAAGUCAGGGGUGAAAUCCUGGAGCUCAACUCCAGAACUGCCUUUGAUACUGGGAAGCUUGAGUCCGGAAGAGGUGAGUGGAACUCCGAGUGUAGAGGCGAAAUUCGUAGAUAUUCGGAAGAACACCAGUGGCGAAGGCGGCUCACUGGUCCGGUACUGACGCUGAGGUGCGAAAGCGUGGGGAGCAAACAGG